UACGAAGGGGGCUAGCGUUGCUCGGAAUCACUGGGCGUAAAGGGUGCGUAGGCGGGUCUUUAAGUCAGGGGUGAAAUCCUGGAGCUCAACUCCAGAACUGCCUUUGAUACUGAGGAUCUUGAGUUCGGGAGAGGUGAGUGGAACUGCGAGUGUAGAGGUGAAAUUCGUAGAUAUUCGCAAGAACACCAGUGGCGGAGGCGGCUCACUGGCCCGAUACUGACGCUGAGGCACGAAAGCGUGGGGAGCAAACAGGG
Molecule: ribosomal RNA, 254 nt
Filed under: uncultured bacterium
Lineage: Bacteria
Description: partial 16S ribosomal RNA
Rfam family: Bacterial small subunit ribosomal RNA
Source: RNAcentral